CGGGGCGUAGCGUAGUGGUAGCGCACUCGCUUGGGGUGCGAGAGGUCGUGGGUUCAAUCCCCACCGCCCCGA
RNAcentral lists this transfer RNA (72 nucleotides) under Elusimicrobiota bacterium. RNAcentral's name for it is "Elusimicrobia bacterium (activated sludge metagenome) tRNA-Pro". It matches the Rfam family "tRNA". Rfam says of the family: Transfer RNA (tRNA) molecules are approximately 80 nucleotides in length. Their secondary structure includes four short double-helical elements and three loops (D, anti-codon, and T loops). The record is from RNAcentral. Lineage: Bacteria; Pseudomonadati; Elusimicrobiota.